UAGGGAAUCUUCCGCAAUGGGCGAAAGCUUGACGGAGCAACGCCGCGUGAGUGAUGAAGGUCUUCGGAUCGUAAAACUCUGUUAUUAGGGAAGAACAAAUGUGUAAGUAACUAUGCACGUCUUGACGGUACCUAAUCAGAAAGCCACGGCUAACUACGUGCCAGCAGCCGCGGUAAUACGUAGGUGGCAAGCGUUAUCCGGAAUUAUUGGGCGUAAAGCGCGCGUAGGCGGUUUUUUAAGUCUGAUGUGAAAGCCCACGGCUCAACCGUGGAGGGUCAUUGGAAACUGGAAAACUUGAGUGCAGAAGAGGAAGGUGGAAUUCCAGGUGUAGCGGUGAAAUGCGCAGAGAUAUGGAGGAACACCGGUGGCGAAGGCGACUUUCUGGUCUGUAACUGACGCUGAUGUGCGAAAGCGUGGGGAUCAAACAGG
This 429-nucleotide ribosomal RNA is filed under the name Bacteroidota bacterium. Its description in RNAcentral is "Bacteroidetes bacterium partial 16S ribosomal RNA". It matches the Rfam family "Bacterial small subunit ribosomal RNA", at positions 355 to 776 of the family's 1533-position model. The record is from RNAcentral. Lineage: Bacteria; Pseudomonadati; Bacteroidota.